UAUCACCGUAUGAAAAAGCUAGACUUGUUCACUCAGAAAAUUACAUCUCAACAAAACUGUCAUUAACGCAGUUCCGACUCUGAUUACUGGUUGCUGUACGUAUCUAUCCACAUCAAGGGUCUUGAGAGAGAAUCGUGAAGAUUCAAGACAGCUCUUAGAGGAUUUGCAGUUUAAAAGUGCAAUAAUUAUGAAAUAAGUGUGCAGAAUGUGUGAUUAAACUGUGUUUAAUUGAAUUUGUUAUGCGAUUUUAAAGGAAUGAUAAAUGUUAAUUUCCACAUGUUAAGCCGCCCUAUACCAGUAAAUUUUCCAACAUUUAA
Long non-coding RNA from Schistocerca gregaria, 317 nucleotides. RefSeq lists it as uncharacterized. The record is from RefSeq and is a predicted model, not a curated record. NCBI's taxonomy places the organism in Eukaryota, Metazoa, Arthropoda, Insecta, Orthoptera, Acrididae. The transcript has 2 exons.